CUGUAGCUCAGUGGAUAGAGCGUCUGCCUCCGGAGCAGAAGGUCGCUGGUUCGAGUCCAGUCGGGG
This 66-nucleotide transfer RNA is filed under the name uncultured Georgenia sp. It matches the Rfam family "tRNA", at positions 5 to 66 of the family's 71-position model. From Rfam's summary of the family: Transfer RNA (tRNA) molecules are approximately 80 nucleotides in length. The record is from RNAcentral. Lineage: Bacteria; Bacillati; Actinomycetota; Actinomycetes; Allobogoriellales; Allobogoriellaceae.